This 778-nucleotide ribosomal RNA is filed under the name uncultured Neocallimastigales. Its description in RNAcentral is "partial large subunit ribosomal RNA". It matches the Rfam family "Eukaryotic large subunit ribosomal RNA", at positions 24 to 649 of the family's 3401-position model. Lineage: Eukaryota; Fungi; Neocallimastigomycota; Neocallimastigomycetes; Neocallimastigales. The record is from RNAcentral.
UAUCUCUGUAGAGUCUGCAUAUCAAUAAGCGGAGGAAAAGAAACUAACAAGGAUUCCCUUAGUAACGGCGAGUGAAGCGGGAAGAGCUCAAAUUUGAAAUCUUCAAGGGUUCUACCUUGACGAAUUGUAGUUUAAAGAAGUGUUUUCUGUUAGUAGAGGUGGCUAAAAGUUCUUUGGAAUAGGACAUCAUAGAGGGUGAGAAUCCCGUAUUUGAUCAUUUUACUAACGUUGUGAUACACUUUCAAAGAGUCGGAUUGUUUGGGAAUGCAGUCCAAAAUGGGUGGUAAAUUUCAUCUAAAGCUAAAUACUGGCGAGAGACCGAUAGCGAACAAGUACCGUGAGGGAAAGAUGAAAAGAACUUUGAAAAGAGAGUUAAACAGUACGUGAAAUUGUCAAAAGGGAAGCGUUUGACACCAGUGUUGUUUUUCCGAAAAUCAAUUACUAAAUGUUUUAGUUUUUGAGGAGUUAUGACUUCAUCGGCUUGCUCCUUUCUUUAUGAAACUUUCUUAAUGCACUUUUCGGUUAACAAGUCAACAUCAAUUUCUUUUGUUGUAAAAGGGUAUGAGGAAGGUGGCUUUCUUUUCGGAGAAAGUGUUUAUAGCCUUGUGCCUCUGCAAUCGGAGAGAUUGAGGUCUGCAGCGUAGAUCCUUCGGGGUUAGAUACAUUUGUGCUAAGUUAUAGCUUUUCAUAGACAACUUGUUGACUAUGUUAAGUCUUGUAAUUUACUCGCAGAUGCUAUUUUACCUACGCUUAGGAUGUUGAGUAGCGACAUACGCAC